This 759-nucleotide ribosomal RNA is filed under the name uncultured bacterium. RNAcentral describes it as "bacterial SSU rRNA". It matches the Rfam family "Bacterial small subunit ribosomal RNA", at positions 28 to 776 of the family's 1533-position model. The record is from RNAcentral.
AUUGAACGCUGGCGGCAGGCUUAACACAUGCAAGUCGAACGGUAACAUAAGAAAAGCUUGCUUUUCUUGAUGACGAGUGGCGGACGGGUGAGUAAUGCUUGGGAAUCUGCCUUAUGGAGGGGGAUAACCACGGGAAACUGUGGCUAAUACCGCGUAAUAUCUACGGAUUAAAGUGUGGGACCUACGGGCCACAUGCCAUAAGAUGAGCCCAAGUGAGAUUAGGUAGUUGGUGAGGUAAAGGCUCACCAAGCUGACGAUCUCUCGCUGGUUUGAGAGGAUGACCAGCCACACUGGGACUGAGACACGGCCCAGACUCCUACGGGAGGCAGCAGUGGGGAAUAUUGCACAAUGGGCGCAAGCCUGAUGCAGCCAUGCCGCGUGAAUGAAGAAGGCUUUCGGGUUGUAAAGUUCUUUCAUUAGUGAGGAAGGUACAAAUGUUAAUAGCAUUUGUAAUUGAUGUUAGCUAAAGAAGAAGCACCGGCUAACUCCGUGCCAGCAGCCGCGGUAAUACGGAGGGUGCGAGCGUUAGUCGGAAUAACUGGGCGUAAAGGGCAUGCAGGCGGUUAUUUAAGUCAGAUGUGAAAGCCCCGAGCUUAACUUGGGAAUUGCAUUUGAUACUGGGUAACUAGAGUCCUCUAGGGAGGGGUAGAAUUCCACGUGUAGCGGUGAAAUGCGUAGAGAUGUGGAGGAAUACCGAAGCGAAGCAACCCCUUGGAGAGAGACUGACGCUCAUAUGCGAAAGCGUGGGUAGCAAACAGG